GUUGUGCAUGUUGCUUCUCGAAAGCUCCCUCUGGGGCUGCUUCUCAGCUAAAUUUAGGGCCAAUCUGUCCCCAUCGUGGGCUCGGCGAGGCUGGAGAAGGGUGUGGGCAGACUGGCAAAGUGUUGGCCGCAGGCCCACAGCCUCGCUCCGGGCUUCCCUCUCUCUCUCCCUCCAGGAGGCCAGGAUUGGCUCGGGCCCUCCGCUGACCACUGGUUGUCCACCCACUGUGCACUUGAAGAAGCUGAGGACGCAGCCCACCCUGCGUCCAGCCUGCCCUGGGCCUCAGAGAAGGCACGAGAGUUAACAUCUGACAAAGGCUGGUGGACUAAACACUUGCUUAGAAUAUGAGUGGAAGUGAAGAAUGCCACCUCUGCAUCACUGCAUCUUUCCUCCCUCUUGAGCACUAAAAUGUGAAUACUGUGCUCAUAAGCCAGUUUCAGCCAUGAGGACCACCUACCUCUAACUGUUAUCUGAAGAGAAAUAAAUUUCCACCUCAUGAUAAA
This is a long non-coding RNA of Suricata suricatta (meerkat), 503 nucleotides long. RefSeq lists it as uncharacterized. NCBI's taxonomy places the organism in Eukaryota, Metazoa, Chordata, Mammalia, Carnivora, Herpestidae. The record is from RefSeq and is a predicted model, not a curated record. The transcript has 2 exons.